UAAUCUUCUUAUUAUUAUUUAUUUAUUUAUUUUUACAAACACCUGUGUAAACACAUUCAUCAAAGACUUUUGUCACGCUGAGUCUGGAAUGUUCUGCUCCACUUCCAGUAAAGUGAAGUCGACUUAUUUCUGGAAUGUCACAGAACUCACUCCUGUGCUGUACAGUAGUCUCGUUUAGACCCAUUCCCUGGAUCGGUUGUUGUUUUGGACGUUAACCAGCCUCAGCCUGUUAACCCCGCCCACAUUACAUCUCUAAUUCAGUUCGAUUUCCUGGUCUGCAUUUUGCCGUUAGUGCGGCUGAUUUAAUCUGGUGGUCCUUUUAAGAUUUUAGCGUUCAUGAUGAUGUCGGAGGCCACAUGACAAUGCCAACAUGGCGGAUGUAGAAUGUCUGGGAUUUUAUUCAUACCACACACACAUACACACAUACUUGGUACGUACAUCUUUAAGAAGGUGUGUAAUGAGACUGACAAACAAAAAGGCGCAGGAGUGCAUGGUCACGUUUAUUAACCCGAAUACUGGGUAUUCACGUGGCAGGAACAUAAACUGUGGGUGUGAAAAGUACCAUUUGACGCUUCGAAGAAUCAUAUAGGGUUAGGGUAGGGGUUAGGGUUAAGGUUAGGGGUUAAGGUUAGGGUUAGGGGUUAGGGUUAAGGUUAGGGUUAGGGUUAAGGUUAGGGUUAGGGUUGGGGUUAAGGUUAGGGUUAGGGUUGGGGUUAAGGUUAGGGUUAGGGUUGGGGUUAAGGUUAGGGUUAGGGUUGGGGUUAGG
This is a long non-coding RNA of Ictalurus punctatus (channel catfish), 766 nucleotides long. The record is from Ensembl. NCBI's taxonomy places the organism in Eukaryota, Metazoa, Chordata, Actinopteri, Siluriformes, Ictaluridae.